Long non-coding RNA from Cyanistes caeruleus (blue tit), 1177 nucleotides. RefSeq lists it as uncharacterized. Lineage: Eukaryota; Metazoa; Chordata; Aves; Passeriformes; Paridae. The record is from RefSeq and is a predicted model, not a curated record.
GGGCCAGGACACCCCCUCUCGCCUGCCCAGUCCUGACGGUGGCCACACAAGCCACCUAUUAGGUUGUUCAAUAGGCUUAUCCAGUUAACCGCUCCCCGGCUCACCCUUGGGAGAGAGCCGCAGGAAAGGAUUUAUUACUUGAAACAAAUUGUGACUUCCCCAGGGAGAAGGAUGCUGAGCGGGGGAGGGGGAAAAAAGAGGCCUCGAAGGCUCCCAGUCCCUCCUGGAAGCGUCUGAGAGUGGAGAGAGCCGCCCCGCAAGAACUCGAGCCGUCGGUGCUCCCGCUGCCCGCACUGUGACGGCGCCGCUGGCCCGGGGAGGGGGACACACACCCCCGCCCACCCCGGGGGACAGGUUGGGAGCAUAAACAGGCGAGAGCGGCUCUAGCCUGGGCGCCGCACUUUGUUUGAGACGUGCAGCUUCCAUGUGUUACCACAUAAACACACGCUAACGGGAUGCUUUAUGGUCCAGCCCUUCAGGGGAGGGGAAGGGGGUAGGACAGGGGAGAGGAGAGGUAAAAAAAUCCCCCCACCCCCAACCUGUCCUCUCGCUAACCCCACGUCCCCCUCGCCUCCCUGGACGGGACCCCCCUGCACCACACGGGGCGGGAGGCAGAGCUCAGCAGCCGUCUCGGAGGCUUUAUUUUAACUACCACCUCCUCUCCGCGGGACCAGCCCAUCGGCACCGCCGGCACUGCGGACAGGGACCGGCCCAGCCACCAGGGCGGCUCGGUGCUCCUCGGCAGGCCCUAAGUGUGGGGAAGGGAAAGCUACGUCGGGGAAAGUGUCACCGUUCCCCAGAAGGGUCCCGGGGCGACGGGACACCUCCGUCCCUAUCUCCGCAAAGCCGUCGGGCCCCCACCCGAGGGGCCAGACUGGCCUAGCAGGCAGCCUUGCCAGUCCCCCAGUUUGCAAUUUUUAUUUUUCGCUGGGUCUUGUGAGAUCCCACAUGGAUGCCGUUAACGACCUCUCGAUAAUGAUCAUGACAAAGGCAUUAUUCAAAUGAGGCAGGAAUCGGCCCGAAUGUUAAACCAGAUACGCUCACGCCGGUACAUCGUGCCCGAGCCCUGCAGGAUCGCCCCGGCACAUAGGCGGCUGACGUUCAUCUUCGAGGGGCUUAAAUUUGCUAGAGCCCGCAGCUCUAAUCCAAGUCAUGAUAAAGCAUUUCCCUCCACAAA